RNA transcript from Triticum aestivum (bread wheat), 2159 nucleotides. RefSeq lists it as uncharacterized. The record is from RefSeq and is a predicted model, not a curated record. The transcript has 6 exons. NCBI's taxonomy places the organism in Eukaryota, Viridiplantae, Streptophyta, Magnoliopsida, Poales, Poaceae.
UCGGCGGCCUCUCUCCACCGCGCGCCGCCGUCCUCCUUCCCCGACGCCGGCCGCCGCCCUCCACCACGCGCCGCCGUCCUCCUUCCCCGACGCCGGCCGCCGCCCUCCACCACGCGCCACCCUUCUCCUUCCCCGGCGCCGGCCGCCUCCCUCCACUACGCGCCGCUCCUUCUUCCCCGACGCCGGACGCCUCCCUCCACCACGCACCGCCCUCCUCCUUCCCCGGCUCCAGCGGCCUGCCUCCACCAUGCGUCGCCCUCCUUCUUUCCCGGCACCGGCCGCAUGCCUCCACCAUGCGCCGCCCUCCUCCUUCCCCGGCGCCGGCCGCAUGCCUCCAGCACGCGCCGCCCUCCUCCUUCCCCUGCGCCGGCCACCUACAUCCAUUGCAUAGAUCCCACCGCAGCCCCAAAACCUGAACGGCACCGCCGCUGUCAUCCCGCCGCUAUCGCUCUGCUGUCGUGUACACGUGGUUCAACGCCUCAGCCCCAGGUCGUUCACUGCCUCGCCGUCCUGCGGCUCCUCCAUGGAUGCCUAGCUCCUCUACUAGAGCCACCGCGGCCCACGACAUCCCAAGGUGGCGGAGUUCGUUGCAUCCAUCAGUCCAAACCCAUGGCUUCAGGGUGGCCAAGUUUUGUUGCGGCCGUCAGUUCGGACACCUGCGUCACUACGUGCCUUGCUACCACUGCCAUUUGCGUCACUGCGUGCUCCGUCACCGUCCUCAUGCGCACCGUGAUCCCUGGCGCACUCCUUCCUCUCCGUGAUGCUGCUCGUGCCGUCCCAGGCUUGAUCUCCUGCUGCAGCGAUGAGCUCCUGUACAUUGGUGAAGUUCCAUACCUGGCGGCACCAGAACGAGGAUACAACAGCCAGGCUGGACCCCAGUUCGUGCCUCCCUCUCUCUCCCUUAGCUACAUCAUCACUGUUGCAGUGCUACUGAUUGAUUUCUUGUAGUGAACUGUGAUGCUCUACUGAUGGAGAGAAGUUUGGGAAACAACACAAAUAUUGGUAUUUGGAGUUAUGAAUUUGGUGCUCCGUAGGUACUUGUUGGUAUAUGCAAGUGAGGGCCAGCAUUUUUUUCUUCAGAUUCUUGUGUUUGUACAAGGGUUAAAACUUAAAAGUAUUUAGUUGUACAAAUUGAAAUUCCACAUAAUCCUCUGACUGCAAGUUUUACUUGUGACUUUGAUGCUUCGUAGGUGCUUAAAAGUAUUUAGGUGGGUGGUCCGACACCGCUGCGUCCAGCAGUCCAACUCCGCCGCCGGAGGCCGUUCACUGUCGCAAUGCCUACUUUUGCCUGCACCUCCUUCCCGGUCAUCAUGAGUUCGACUCUGAGAGCUAUUAAGUUCGACGAAAAAACAGCACAAGGCAUGUCAGUUCGUGCAAAGCAUAUCAGUCUUUCAGUUCGUGAGCUCGUCAGUUCACCGAUGGGAUCCGCAGCUGCCAGGCGGUUCACAGCCACCACCCUAGUCUGUUCAUCACUGCCAAUCGAGGUCGUUCGACGAUGCAGCGUUGAGGUCGGUCAACGACGCAAUGAUCCUAAGGAGCUGUUGCUGUCGCUGGUCGUUGCUGUCGGAGCCGCGGCGUGUUGACAAGAUCCUGCAGAGCCAUGAGCUGUGUAUCCGGCAAGCCGGCUGCCGGUCAUGGUUCCACAAAGGAAACAAGAGGGAGCGGCGGCACUGAGACCGAGGGAGACGCACACAUGCUAGACCUCCUGUGUAGAACGCUUGAAUUCUUUGAAUGUUUUUAGGUGCUUCUGUUUGCAAACCUAGAAAUGGGCGUUGGGCCAACUACAAGGCAAUGCCACCAGGUAGGGCACGAGACGGCUGCGAAGCGCGACAUGAGCCUUUCCGACCCCAUUUCCAGGUGCAGCGCCAGGGAUCUCACUGUGGGGUGCACAAAGGCACUAGCGACUCUACUUCCAUUUCUCUUCAGAAGUUCUGCUAACCAAUUAGCCACUAAUAAGAUGACUUUGCUUCCAACUAGCCACUGAAAGUUGUGGCCAUUUAAUGUCACCUUCUACAUUUAAGAUAGGUCAAACUGUAACCUUCCAAUGUUAUCGUUUGGUGCUUAAGAUGCUUUAUGUUUUGUUGAUCUACAGAGUGGCUAUCUGAGAGCUAUGUUGAACUUUCUUAUUAGAGUUUAUACUUCUUUAAAAAUCCGAGUUA